GCCCGAUGACGUCAGGGCGGAUCCAGGCCGUGGUCUUGGCGUAAGAAAAGCUGCGGGACUGACGUCAAUGAUUUUUGUUUUGUACUUUCCACCUCCUCUGAGUUUCAGGAUUGCCACUGGGGUGUUUCAUUGUGGAUUGUGCGUGUUUGUGGUUGUUUUUUCGGGGGGUGGAGGGGUGUCUCUGCAGCCCCAGCGAACCAAACCUGGCCCUGAUUCCUCCACCUGGCCCCAGUCUACAGGCGAGUCAGCAAGAGUCCUGGAAGAUCAGAGGUCACGAGGUCCCGAGGUUGUCAGGGGGAGAGGAGGAAGUGAAGUGUGGUGCGUGGCUUUCUGGGAAAUGGAGUCCCCGGUGCCGCGCAUGCCCAGGAGGCCAUGGGGGCGGGGCUGUUGAAAGGCUCCUGGCUCUCAGUCUUCUUCCCCAGCUUGGUGCUCAGCCCCCCGAGCUGCGUCCUCUCCUUCCUGCUCCCCUGAGACUCCGGUUCAGGGUGAGAUCUCUCUGCCUUCCCUGGACCUGAGAUCUCUCUGUCUUCUGGGAGCCAGCUCUGCACAAGCAGGUGCCAGGCCAGUUUGCAGACAACCAGAGCUGGAUCCAGAGAGGAUGGCCCCAGGGACCCAGAGACCCUCAUCCCAGGUGAGUGCAGCCCAUCCCCAGACCUGACCAGCAUCAGCAAAGGUGGAAUCCAGCAGAGCCCAGGAAGCUUUAUCCUGUUACAUGUACAUUGUCCUCUGCAGGGCUGUCAGCAGAGCAGACAUUGUCCUCCUGGUUCUGCUCAUUUCCUUCUGCCUCAGGCCACCCCAGUCUCCCCUGCUCUCUCUGAAUC
Molecule: long non-coding RNA, 821 nt
Organism: Dromiciops gliroides (monito del monte)
Lineage: Eukaryota; Metazoa; Chordata; Mammalia; Microbiotheria; Microbiotheriidae
Exons: 3
Source: RefSeq, a predicted model, not a curated record